GUCGAGCGAACUGAAUUAAGAAGCUUGCUUCUAUGACGUUAGCGGCGGACGGGUGAGUAACACGUGGGCAACCUGCCUGUAAGACUGGGAUAACUUCGGGAAACCGAAGCUAAUACCGGAUAGGAUCUUCUCCUUCAUGGGAGAUGAUUGAAAGAUGGUUUCGGCUAUCACUUACAGAUGGGCCCGCGGUGCAUUAGCUAGUUGGUGAGGUAACGGCUCACCAAGGCAACGAUGCAUAGCCGACCUGAGAGGGUGAUCGGCCACACUGGGACUGAGACACGGCCCAGACUCCUACGGGAGGCAGCAGUAGGGAAUCUUCCGCAAUGGACGAAAGUCUGACGGAGCAACGCCGCGUGAGUGAUGAAGGCUUUCGGGUCGUAAAACUCUGUUGUUAGGGAAGAACAAGUACGAGAGUAACUGCUCGUACCUUGACGGGACCUAACCAGAAAACCCCGGCUAACUACGUGCCCACCGCCCCGGUAAUACCUA
RNAcentral lists this ribosomal RNA (489 nucleotides) under Priestia aryabhattai. RNAcentral describes it as "bacterial SSU rRNA". It matches the Rfam family "Bacterial small subunit ribosomal RNA", at positions 61 to 529 of the family's 1533-position model. The record is from RNAcentral. Lineage: Bacteria; Bacillati; Bacillota; Bacilli; Caryophanales; Bacillaceae.